UAAUACAGAGGUCUCGAGCGUUAAUCGGAGUCACUGGGCUUAAAGGGUGCGUAGGCGGACCCGCAAGUGCUUUGUGAAAUCCCAUGGCUUAACCAUGGAAUGGCUUGGCAUACUGCGGGUCUUGAGGUCGGUAGAGGCUGCUGGAACUCUAGGUGGAGCGGUGAAAUGCGUAGAUAUCUAGAGGAACGCCGAUGGUGAAGACAGGCAGCUGGGCCGAAUCUGACGCUGAGGCACGAAAGCGUGGGGAGCGAACGGGAUUAGAUACCCCGGUAGUCCACGCCCUAAACGAUGUACACUAGAUCGCAGGGGCUCUGACGCCAUUGUGAUCGAAGAAAAAUUGUUAAGUGUACCGCCUGGGGAGUACGGUCGCAAGGCUA
This 377-nucleotide ribosomal RNA is filed under the name uncultured bacterium. Its description in RNAcentral is "bacterial SSU rRNA". It matches the Rfam family "Bacterial small subunit ribosomal RNA", at positions 521 to 896 of the family's 1533-position model. The record is from RNAcentral.